AGUGCUGCUGGUGCCGGAGUCCGGAAGCUGACGGCGGUGCGUGGAAAUCGUCGCGGAGUUCAGUGUUUUGCUUUUGGGGAUCACAAACUCAGGGGCACACUGGCCCGGCGGGCGCAUCCAGCCGUUGGCGUAUGUGUGGGCAGAAAAUGCAGACGAGAAAGUGGGUGGCGCUUGGCUAAUGCGGGCUGGAGCCCUUGACUUGGAGUGCCCAGUCCAGCGCCGCGGUCCUACAGAGGCCCCUGGGAUCUGAGCUGGCGAGGGUGGCGCGGCGGGUCCUACCCAAGGCCAGAAAGUUCGCUGCGGUCCCAGCUCUUUUGGGCAGCCUCUCUGAGGUAGAGCUCUCAGACGGUCUUCAGCCCGGUGGAACGCCCUGGUGUCCCACUCCACCCGUUCAUCCCGACUUCCUGGGCCGUCUCUAGAGCCCAGUUGGUAGUUGGGCCCAGUUGGCAUAUGUUUCAGAUGAAAAAUUCAUUACGGACUUGAGAUGCUAGGUUGGAGACAAAUCUCAUGUCAGUGGCAGAGAAAGAAUUCGAAGCUGUGCUUUCAUUGAGGGGAAGGGCCAGAAGACCCAGCUCUAGGUUUUUCUGACAAGCACAAGUUUUGGGGAAGUCCCUGUGCUUCACUAGCCUCAGUUUUCUUCCUAUAAUGGGGGUAGGGCUUUUCCUACCUACCUCAUUCACUUUGUGUAGAGUUAAAAGUAAUACACAUUUUGCCAAUAAUGUAUUCACUGCUUGAACCAAAAACUACCCUAAUGUGUUGUAGAACAACUUUGGCAUGUAUGAAGGCCUUGUAAAUGUUGAUGAUGAUGAUGCUUAGAAAUGCCUCUCAGCAUUUUGACGUAGCCUGCCUCCCAACCUACUGUAUUCCCAGGAGAUACCACCCCCAUCUUUAUUAUAACAGAGGCAUCCUGAAAUGAAAUGAGAGAGGAAGAAUAUCACUGAACUGGUGGACUUCUUGAAACCCCCGGCAAAAAGCCUUUUUUCAAUGACGUAGGGAGCAAUGGAUUAAUCAGUUCACAAAUUGUUAUGUUUGGUUGGGAUGAUGUGUCAUGGCCCUAUGUCAGAGCGCUACUCACCACACGUUUGUGGAACCCAGGGAGUUAAAAAACAACCUAUGGCGACUGAGGUGUGGAGCUGGGGAAGGAGCCUAUGUACGUAUGUGGCAAGUGUGACUGCAAAGAUAGGGAAGUGCUUAAACACAGGCUUGCAGAGUGAAAGCUUCCUUGUGGAUUUGUGUUUUCUUAUGAUUGAUUGAUUGAAACAAGUUCUCCCUCAGUUGCCUAGGCUGGAUUGCAGCGGUGCGAUCAGGACUCAUUGCAUCCUCAACCUCCCCGACUCAAGCAGUCCUCCCACCUCAGCCUCCUGAGUAGCAAGGCUACAGAAUCUCAUUCUAUCACCCAGGCUGGAGUGCAGUGGUGCAAUUAUAGCUCACUGAAGCCCUGACCUCCCAGACUCAAGCAAUCUUCCUGCCUAAGCCUCCAAGUAGCUGGGACUACAAGUGUGUGCCACCAUGCCCAGCUAAUUUUUGUAUUUUUUGUAGAGUUCAGGGUCCCACAAUGUUGCCCAUGCUGGUCUUGAACUCCUGGGCUCAGGUGAUCCUCCUGCCUCAACCUCCCAAAGUGCUGGGAUUACAGGCAUAUUUUCUUGGCUGGAAGCCUCUUGCAUUCUGGAGGUCCAAUAGUGCUUCUACACCUCUGUUGGAACUUCCUGGCUCCUGAAAGAGUUUGGUCAUUCCUUCCUCCCUUCCACAAACAUUUACUGAGCACCUGCUAACUUCCAGAUACUUUGUUAAGCUCUUAGGUCCCGAAGAAAGAUUGGGCCACCUGAACUGGUCACAUGGCAGCACCCCUGACUUCUAAAAGGUUAUGGUUUGCUUGGGAAGACAGAGAAGUUAACACAUAAUUUCAGCCCCAUGUAAUAAAUGCAGGGGCAGAGGUCACCAUGGGGUGAUGUGAGAGGACAGAGCAGGGACAUGCACUUUGCUAUGGGUCUGCUGGAAGGGGUGGCCAGGGACAAUUCCUGGCAGGGAGGGCUCAGCAAUUGCAUAUUGAAGACAAUAUUUCUCAAUUCUUGAGACCUAAGAAUCACUAUUCAUGCUUCUGUUCUAGAAGCCCCAAAGGCCGUGGCUAAUGACCAAAAAUGUUUGUAUUUUGCCAGCCAAAUAUGCUUGGAAGGCAGAAAAGUAGGCUGGGCUUUCUGAGUGAGUUUCAUCCCCAUGGGCAGAAACAUAUCCUGGCGUUCCCCAUGGUCUUCAGAGUAGCACUCAGGUCUGUCCACGGAGGGACAAGCCUGCAAGUCUGAUGCCACAGUGGCCAGGGCAAGGAAGUUCACGAAGCCCUAGGCAGGAAGUGAUAACCAAAGAUAUAGAAAGCCAAUUGGCCCUCCAUUUCUGUUAUCUGGUGUAGAAAGUAAUGCUCUGGAUACCAAGGUUGGCUUCUUAGUUAAUGCUUUGACCAAAGGCCAGUAAAUCUUCCUCAUGAUUGCAGCAACAUUUUCAAGAACCCCGACUUAGAAGCCUGUGGUGCCAUCCAGGCCUAUGCCUGAGAUGGAAUCUGGAUGUGCCCUGUACCACAUUUCUCCUGUCCAUUUCUUGUUACUGUAUUUUCCUCUGGUCCUUAAUAUCUGUGCUAAUUUUCUGUUCCAUUUUGUUCUCCCUCAGGAAGCCCUGAAAGUAACUUCAAAUCUCAUGAAAAGCCAAACAGCUAGCUCAGCUUUGGGGGUUCACAAAGAAGCAAAUAUUAGCUUUCCAAAAUGAGGCACACAUUCACUUCUUAAACUUUCAUGCAUAUAAUGUUAGACCCCAAGAAGGUGGUCUCUGCCCACUUUGAGGGUUCAGAGACCCUUGAGAAUAUAUGAGCACUGAGAUCACAACAGUGAGUCAGUAUAUUUGGUGGGGAGGGAAUGGCCCCAGCUCCUCAGUUUUACAGCUAAGUGAUCUAUACCACCUUACUCUGCUGAAACUGACUUCAAGAAGAGGCUAAAUGAAACCAGUUCCUUCUGAAGGGGAUAACUGAGAAAUUGAAAUGAAUUUGUUCAGAAGGACCUAGGACCUUCCUUCUAGUACUCAUUUUUAAUAGUGAUAAAACUAGGGAUCAGUAAAAUGGAAGUAGGAAAAGCAGAAUUAUGAAGCCCAUUUACUUGUAUUGUACAACUGUUGUAGCCAUUUAACAUCUGGCUUCUCAUUUGACCUACCAAGAGUGAUGGUGUGGAGUGCAGUAAUGAGACCAUCACCUCCAUCCUUCAGAUGAGGAGGCCACGUUUUAAUACUGCUAUAGGGCACAGUCAGGUGUAUACAGCUUGUCAGUGUAGCAGAGCAAGAUUUUAAUUCAAGAUUUUAAUUCAAGCAGAGCGAGAUUUUAAUUCUCUGAUACAAAGCUCAGUAGUGUUUCCAGGAUAUAACUUAUCCAAAACACAUUUAUUGAGCAACUGCCAUGGCCCUGGCCCUGGGCUGGGAUGUGGGAGAAAGGAGACUCCUGAGAGGAAUAUUAGAGGCAGACAUAGUAAGGGCCAUGAGUGCAAAUUCAGGUCAUGGGGCUCAGAGCAGCAGUGACCAUCUCAAACCAGGGAUCAAGACAGGCUUCAAAGGAGAAGAGGUCCUUAACCUAGGCACUGAGGAUGGUCAGAAUUCAGGCAGGAAUUAAGGAAGCAGUGCUUACCCAACAGGACAUUAGGCAAACUCAUCACUACAGGGGCAUCUCUUAUGUGGCAUUGCACAGUGUCAGAGGGACAGACAGUGUUCAGAUGGAUGUGAAGGGGGCUCAAAAGACAGCUGUCUUUGUGGGGAUUUGGCUCCGGUGUUGUCAGUAUCCCUUGUUGGCCUCCUUCUCAGGCCUUGUCCUGUUUUGUCUCUGGUACAGGGUGGUUUGGGCUGCUGAGACGUGGCAUGUUGCUGAUACUGGUGACAGUGGCCCUGAGCACAGUGUGGCUUCCCCAGCCUAGGUUCACAGGAUGUGCCUCUUCCUCCUUAGCACUUAGCUGAACACCGCGAGAGGAGGCUGUAGAGCAGCUCCCUGGCCUCGAUGCUGCUGUCGGGAGAAACACCAACCUUUUAGCAGUUUGCAGAGGCUCUCUUUUAUCUGGGCUGUUCUCAGAUGUGAAGGACACAGAGCAGAAGAUGUCUGAAGGCCUGGUUAGCAGGGGGUGAGGGAGAGGAGGAGGGGGAACUGAAAUUCAAAGCCAAGACCCUCAUCAGCACUGCUCUGUGGCAGCUCAUCAGUUCUCCCUCUUCUCACCCGCAUGGGAGCCCAUGCAGGCCUGCUCUUGCCUGGCUCUGGCCUCUGCAGCAUCUGUUAGCAAUGAAUAAAGAAGAGGUGGAGGGGAGCAGGGCUAUGGGUGGGGGCAGGAGGAAGGUCUACUUAAACACAAUGUGUUUGCUCACACACAUAAAACCACAGGCCUCCUGGAGGCGAGCACCCCGCCAGGCCCCCCUCAUUCUUGAAUUUGUUAUUAGGAACACGCAAUCUAGGCCGGCCUCAGUCCUCAUUUCUUACAUAGCGAGGGGCUUGGGUAAGGAGGGUUAGUUCUUAGGGCCUUUCCUGGGCUGACAUCCUGUGUCAGAGGUGAGAGGUUUGCUGGCAUAGUUCUGAGAACUGACCAGUCCUCACUCAGGCACAUGGUGCUGCAGGACACACAACAUCUCUAGUCUGUGAAGGAGGCUGGGUCUUCUCUAGGCUCCACAGAGGGUGAAGCAGACAUUCUGGAGAAAGGUUCCAUACAGCCCACAGGGGACAUCUGAUUCUCCACCUUGGCAGGUAAGAUCUCCAGGCUCUGAUGUCAGCUUUCCCAUUAUUCUCAUUAAGUGGCAUCAUGUUUAUUUCAAAGUCAUGACCUCCAGGAAAAUAAGAGGGAACAAGAACACUGAAAAUGUCCCGAAGCCCAAGUUCAGUCACUAGAAUAUUUCUGGAAGCUGGACUGUUAAAGGUGAUAUUAUAUAUGGAAUGAAACAGUUCCAUUAUUUCUCUUAGCAAGUGACUCCCCUUAGGAAAUUAUUGAGAGUAGGCAAAGAGUUGGAACCUCCCCAAAGUCCCUCAGGAUUAUGAAAUGGGAAAAGGAAACAAAGGCCCAUCCUGCCCCCUCCUUUCUGUGCUCCUGAGGAAUGAGUGUCCUCUCACAGGCUGUGCAGCUUCUGUGCUGGCCCCAUCCAUAGCAGGGCUCAUGGCUGGAUCUGAGACCCUCUGCUGGCCUCAUCCAUGGCAGGACACAUGGCUGGACCCAAGACCCUCUGCAGACCUUACAAUGAGAGAAUGAAGAAACACACCUCACCUCGGACUUCUCAUGCUCUGAUGAUCUGGUGACCAAGUUCUGAGAGAUUCUUGCCAGGGUUUCUAUUUUUAAGACCCUCCACUGCCUUUGGGUGGUGAGUAGGUGAGAGAUAGGAAGGAAGACGGGCAAAGAGGAGCAGAAUGGAAUAAGACAAGGGAGUUAACGGUGUGGACAUUUUGUAUAUCUGAUUCAGAAUGAAGUGACGAACCCACCAGUAGGUAGACUGCACACGAGUAGAAGUUAAAGCAGGGCACAGGACAGGGACACUGGUGCAGGGGAAGCCCCAGGAGCAUUGUGAAGGGAUGUAGCUACAUCUCAGUUUUUGGCAGGGCAGUGCUGACUGUCCCCCAACUACAGCCAAAGGGUCAUCUUUGCUGAGCAAGUUAGAUACCCUGUGCCCCUGUUAUAAACUCUGGAAGUUCUGCCAUCACUGACCCACUAUUGUGACCCUAGAAAUUAGCCUGUUUCUAGGGUCCCAAGUUUCCCGCAUAUCUCUAAAUUGGAGAUUCCAUUACCCAGACCCCUCUGCAGCCUUGGGGAUUAAUGAAAGCCUUGUUCACAAAUGUCUCGGAAUCCAUAAAGGUUUAGAUCGAUAAUUAACAAGAAGGAGAAGGCAUAAACAUUUCAAAUAUAUAUCAACUCCCUAAUCUAUAACAGCCAAUAAGUCUAAAAACUGAGUGGCCACAAUUUCCCUCAGUGACAGGCAGCCCAUGCACUUUCAAAAGUAAUUCUUCAUUAGGCAUAAAUUACCACUUGGGGAAACCUUCCACGGAUGCCAUGGCUGUGGAUUUAUUAAGUGAAAAUGAAACUUUUAAAUAAAUAUCUGGAACAAAAAAUGUAUUUCCCAUCUAAUCGGGCCAUGAGGCGGGAGUGUUUAAAGUGCUGUGGAGGCUGGACUUUGAGAGCAGAAACCUGGGCACAUUUCUUUAGAAGCCUUUUUGCUGAGUCAGUCACUGGCAUGCCAUCUCCCUCUCCAACUCCCCAAACACCUGGAUCCUCCUGACAUUAGCCAAGAGCAAUAAGGGCAGAGAAGUCCCUAGGGGAGAGCCUUCCCAAACCCUUAGGGAAUCUGAUAGGUUCUGAGGCAUCUUGUUUCUCUAGGAAGAUCUUGAUUUGGGAUCCGCAGUCAGAUUCUCAACCAGGGGACUUCAUGUAUCCACCUUCCCAGCCAAAUGUUCCUGCCAGCUUGUCUUCCCCUUAAGGGCAGAAGAAGCCAGUUCAUUUAGUUCCUACGAAAUAAUCCUCAUGAGAGACCAAGGGAAAACAAAAUGUGAGACGGAAGGAACACAUCAAAAAUCUAACCAGCUCCACAGAUAUUUGAUGGCAUUCCUGUAGUGCAGGCAGCAAUGCUCAGUGAACACUAUUUGUCUCUCCAGCAGUGAUUCUAGCCCUUCCAUAUUGUGGAGCUUCCUACUUCCAGUUUCAGGGUCCUGAUUACAUGAUAUAGAUCAUGGUCAUUCCUACAUCUCUUGCUAGAGAAUGGUGUAAAACUCAGCCUAAGCUAAUCCACCAUGGGGCCUUUCCUGUUGGCAAUAAUUUAUCUAGAAAUGGGCAAGAAACAUACUUUCAAACCAUGAGCUGUAAGAGGAUACUUUCUCGGGGCUUUUGGUAAAAAAUUUCCUUAGACAAAAGGAAAACUUCAAGGACACCUGGUCUAUUGCUGCUGUUGACAAUCAUGAGGAAGUGUUGGUAUUGAUGGGUAUCCUGUGAUAGCAAAGGGAACUAGCCUUAGGAUAAAGCUGAAUCUAUGGCAGAGAGAACAGUGAUGAAACCUAAACUGGUCCUUUAUGACCUUGUAGAUGGACUAGGUUAAUCUUCUUUUCCCUUUGGAAAUUCAAAUUAUAACACUGGAGCUCUUCAAGUACUAUGAGAGAUGGGGUAUCUCAGAUCGUUGAUCCUUCCAGCUUAUUACUGGAGGAGAUGUCAUGGCUAGAAACAGUGACAGUUGCGCUGAAAACCAGCUUUUCACUGGGGAAGAGACUCAGAAUCACAUAAAAAGAAAUUGUCUCCUCUAAGUAAAACUCUUUAUAAGUUUCUUUUUUUUUAAUAUUUUACAUUCUUUUUUUAUUUUUUUAUUUAUUUUUAUUUUUAUUUUUUAUACUUUAAGUUUUAGGUACAUGUGCACAUUGUGCGGGUUAGUUACAUAUGUAAACAUGUGCCAUGUUGGUGCGCUGCACCCACUAACUCGUCAUCUAGCAUUAGGUAUAUCUCCCAAUGCUAUCCUCCCCACUCCCCCCACUCUACCACAGGCCCCAGAGUGUGAUAUUCCCCUUCCUGUGUCCAUGUGAUCUCAUUGUUCAAUUCCCACCUAUGAGUGAGAAUAUGCGGUGUUUGUUUUUUUUUGUUCUUGCGAUAGUUUACUGAGAAUGAUGAUUUCCAGUUUCAUCCAUGUCCCUACAAAGGACAUGAACUCAUCAUUUUUUAUGGCUACAUAGUAUUCCAUGGUGUAUAUGUGCCACAUUUUCUUAAUCCAGUCUAUCAUUGUUGGACAUUUGGGUUGGUUCCAAGUCUUUGCUAUUGUGAAUAAUGCCGCAAUAAACAUACGUGUGCAUGUGUCUUUAUAGCAGCAUGAUUUAUAGUCCUUUGGGUAUAUACCCAGUAAUAAGUUUCUACCUAGAAUAUUCCUGAACAGUCUCCUAGGAAAUACAGAAGGAUAUUCUUGUAAGCAGAAGCCAAUCAAAAAACUUUAAUGGUGCUGAAACCUUAGAGUAUUCGCAAAAUUGUAAAUCUUAUCUGGGUUCAAAUAGAUCAUGUUAUAGCUUUUUUUUUUUCACUUUCUGGUCUCAAAAAUGGUGAUAGUUGAUGAAUUCUUUUUCUUGUUCAGAGUCCCUAACAUAAUACCAAAGACCGGGAUACUUCAACAUGCCCAUUUUCUUUAACAUUUUCAAAGAAAAUAUUCAACAGCCUUCUAAUUUUCAGAAUUGCAGGUCAUUCUGGAUCAAUUUCACCACAUCCGAAUCCCUUAAGGAGUAAAAACACUCACAAUAAACUGGGAUCUCAAGAAAACAAUUAAAUAUAUUGGAAGAAAACCUCUGUGGUUUUUCUGUAAAAAAAAACCCAUUACUACACAUAUGAGGGUAAUGUUGACUCCCUCACUGGGAAAACUAGCAUUGAACCCUUCUGGUUUGUGUCUGUUAUCCCCCUGGGUUGCAUACUUUGCUUUUCUUCCCUCUGUGACUGACACUGAUCCCUACUUGACAUCAUCUGCAAUACUGUUGAUUCAAUCAUGAAUAGAAAACUGUGAAGCAGGCCAUUACUUUUAUUUUAGUUCAGUGGGUAUUUUGGAGUCCUUUCUGUGUGCAAGACCCAGUGCUAGAUGCUCAGACCUCAGAGUGAAUAUGAUGUAGUCUUUGUUCCCACAGUCUAGCAAGGCAAAUACAUAAAUAUCAUAAAUAUAAAAAUUGAAUACAUAUAAUCUAUGCUAGGAUAGUGGAAACACAGAAGAAGCAUAGUUAAGCCUGCUGGGGUAUAAUUUUGGUGCACUUCCAUAAAGGGUAUCCUGUUAAAGGAUAAAUUUAAAUUGGUCAGAAAAAACUGAGUAAAUUGUAUUGUCCACAUUUCUAGGCAAGCGGGGACUAUUUUAGAUGACAUUGCAGGUUGAGCAUUCCUAAUCCAAUAAUCUGAAUUUCAAAAUGCUCAGAAAUCUCAAACUUUUUGAGUGCCAGUAUGAAUCCAUAGUGUACAUUUUCACAUCUACUUUGAUGUGAUGGGUCAUAAUCAAAAUGCAGGUACACAACACAGCUCAUUCAGUUUGCCAUUGUUUGUUGUUGUUGUUGCCUAACAGCUGAUUCAGGUUUUCUGGUGAUGCUGCUGUGAUGCUUAGUUACCCUGCACACAUUACUUUUGCUCUCUAUUAAUAGUAUGUCAUAUUUUUUACUAUUAAGUACUUAUGUGUAUGUGUGAAUAAGUGUAAGAAAGUGACUGUUUAUGAGUAGCAUAUAAAUUCAGAGUCAGAAAUGAUGGUGACACCAAGCAACCACAGAUGGUUCACAUGAGUGGCUGAGACGGUGAUAUCUUUGCUUUCUGAUGUUUCAAUGUACACAAUUGCUUUAUGCACAAAAUUAUUAGAAGUAUUGUAUAAAAUUAUCUUCGGGCUGUGUGUAUAAGGUGUAUAUAAAACAUAAAUGAAUUUCACGUUUAGACUUGGGUCUCAUCACCAAGACAUAUUAUUAUGUAUAUGCAAAUAUUUCAACAUUAAAUAAAAAUCUGAAAUCUCAACUUCUGGUCUCAAGCAUUUCUGAGAGGGAAUACUCAACUUGUACUAAGUAAAAAUCCACCUCAAAACUUAAUGGAUUAACAAAACAAUAUUGUAACAAUUAUUUUGAAAAUAAAUCUGCAAAUUGAGCAGAGCUCAGCAAGAAUGGUUUAUCUAUGUUCCGUGUGGCAUCAUCUGGGACAGCUCAACUAACAGCUGGAGCAUCUGCUUCCAAGAUGGUUCACUCACAUGAAUGACAACUUAAUGCUGACUGUUGGCUAAGAGGUCAGCCACAGCUGUAUACUGGGAGCCUCAGUUCUCCACUGUGGACCUCUCCACAGGCUGCUUGGGCUUCUUCCCAGCAUGGUGGCUGGCUUCCAAGAGUGAACAUCCCAAGUGAAAAAAGCAAAAGACAAAGAUAUUUUUAUUACUUAGAUUUGCUAGUCACAUAAUAUUAUUCCCACUGUUCUUUAUUGAUCAAAGCAGUCACAAGAUCCUGCCAAGGUCCAAGGAAAGGAGAUAUAAAUCCCAUCACAAAAUGAAAGAAUUGUCAAAAUCACAUAAUAAGAGAAACAUGUGAAUGGGAGAUAUUAUUGUGGACUCUAUGAAAACUCAAUUUGUCAGAGUUUUAUUUCAUCCUUCCAAUAUGUUUACCUUUUAUUUCCCUUUUUUGGGGUCUUAUUGCAUUAGCUAGAACUUCCAGUACAAUGUUGAAAAGAAAUGGUGAGAGGAGGACAUCCUUGCCUUGUUCCUGAUUUUAAUAGAAAACUUUUGAGUUUCUCACUAUUAAGUAUGAUGUUAGCUAUAGGGUUUUUUUGGUAGAUAUUCUUUAUUAAGUUGAGAAAGUUCACCUCUAUUCCUAGUUUAGUAAGAAUUUUUAAGAAUCAUGAAUAAUUGUUGGAAUUUGUCAAAUGCUUUUUCUGCAUGUAUUGAUAUGAUCAUGUGAUUUUUCUUUUUAGCCUGUCGAUGGGAUUAAUUACAUUAAUAGAUUUUUAAAUGAUGAACUAGACUUACCUGCCUGGAGUAAAUCCCACUUGGUCAUGGUGUCUAAUUUUUUGUAUUCAUUGUUGGAUUUGAUUGAUUAACAUUUUGUUGAGAAUUUUUGCAUCUGUGCUUAUUAGAUAUAACAUUCUGUAGUUUUCUUUUCUUGUAAUGUCUUUAUCUAAUUUUGUAUUGGGUUAACGCUGGCCUCAUAGAAUGAGUUAAUAAGUGGUCCCUCUACUUCUAUCCACCAAAAGAGAUUUUAGAGAAUUGGUAUAAUUUCUUGUUUUAAUGUUUUCUGGAAUUAGUUAGUGAACUCUAAUGAGCCUGGUGUUUUCUGUUUUGAAAUUAUUGAUUCAAUUUCUUUAAUAGAUACAGGUUUAUUUAGAUUGUCUAUAUUUUUGUGUGUGCUGCUUUUGGCAGUUAUAUCUUUCAAGGAAUUGGCCAAUUUCACCUAGGUUGUCAAAUAUGUUGGCAUAGAAUUGUUCAUGUUGUUCUUUUAUUAUCUUUUUGAUAUCCAUGGGAUCUGUAGUAAUGUCUCCUCUUUUAUUUCUAUUUUUUUUUGAUAAUUUGUGUCCUCUCAUUUAUUUGAUUAGUUAACUUGGUUAAAGACUUAUCAUUUAAAAAAUAUCUUCAGAGAGCCAGCUUUUGGUUUCUUUUCCUUGAUUUUUCUCUUUUGAUUUGUUGUUUUCAAUUUCUUUGGAUUCUGUUCUAAUUUUUACUAUUUCUUUUCUUGUGUUUACUUUGGAUUUAACUUCCUUUUUAUUCCUUAGUUUCCUGAAGUGAAAUUUAGAUUAUUGAUUUGAGAUCUUUCUUCUUUUCUUAUAUGUGCAUUCAAUUUGUAAAUUUGUUUCUAAGCCCUGCUUUCUGCUGCAUCCCACAAAUUUUGAUAAGUUGUUUUAAUUUAACUUUAAUUUAAAAUGUUUUUGAACUUUUUUCAGAUUUCUUGUUUAACCUAUGUGUUAUUUAGAACUCUGUUGUUUAAACGCCAUCUAUUUUGAGGUCUGCUAGCUACCUUCCUAUUAAUAAUUUGUAGUUUAACCUGGAGAAAACUAAACUUUUCAAUCUGUUAGUAUCUUUUGCCUUCCUUAUGAUAUAAUUUAUUAGCACAUUUAAAAUUUUAGUUUCAGAUUGAUGUGAAAGUUUAUUUUUCUCACAUUCCCCUUUAUAUGUUUUCUUACUAAGAAGGUUUUUUGAUGCGAAUUCUUAGUGCUCUUGAACUUACAGGCCAGCCCCACAUCGUCUAGUGGCAUUUUGGCAUCUCUUCUUUGUGGCAGAAUUGUGGGAAUUACAUAUCCCAUCACUGAGCCAGCAGGUAGUAUGGCUCUAUUCUUGGUCUUUGUCUUUGUUUUCCUGCACCCUAUGAUCACUGUCUCCUAUAAGCAUAAGCCGUAGGUAGAAUAUGCAACAGCUUCUUUGGGCUUCAAGUUAUGGUUUGGAACUUAUUCAGUCUUUGAUUUCAGACACUGAAUCCAGCUUCAGUCUUCUAGUUUAUAUGGAUCCAUGUUCCUCCAUGAGAAUGGGAGUACUGACUAUCACUGCUAGAGUCUGAAUUGUGACAAAGAAGGUUUAUGGCUCCAGUUGUGCUCUGUGCUUUGUACUGAAGUUCUAUUUCUGUUCAUGCUGAUAUUUGCUAUUUGAGCCCAACUAUGUCUUUUUGCAUUUCUCUUAUUAUAUUUAAUUUGUCAUUACUAUAUGUUGAAAGCUGAUAAAGUGUACCAGAUAUAAACUUAAUAUGUCAUCUUUGCCAGAAAUCUUCUUAUUUACUAAAUGGAGAAUUGAGGCUCAGAAUGGAAAUGUAUCUUGACGAAGGCCUUAGAGUGAUCUUGUCCUAGAGCCUGAGAGAUACUCAGGUCUUCUGAUUCCAAGCCCUGGGAUUUUUCACUAUUCCCAGGUGCUCAGAAACUGAUACGAGGGAAAGGUCUCAGCAUUGAGCUGCUUCCUGCCUUCUUGUAGGAAUAAACUAGGAGUCAGAGGCAGCCACUGGGGGAUUCAGUUGAUGUUUCCUGAUAAGCAGAGAAGAUGUUUAACAGAUUUCAUCACUGCCAAGUUCAUAUCUGACUCAGAAAUCUUUCUUUCAGCAAGCUGUCAUGAGUCUGAGUUAAGCAUCUCACCCAGAGUGUGCUGUGCCACAUUCAGCAAGGGAUCUUUGUGUUCACCAGAAAAACUAAAGCUCUCUAAAUGGUAUUUUCCAUCUGGAGGCAACAUAGCUUCCUUAUAAAGAAGAAAUAAGAAAUAAAAUUCAUUUUUAAUUUAAAAUAGGCAAACAUUUCAUUGUGUGUUAUACAAAUAAAUUAACACAAAUGUCAACUGAAAAAUGUCACUCAGCUUAAGGAAAAAAUUUCCAUGUCAUUUGUGUUUGGGUAGGAAAGCAGUUCUUCAAAAGCUUGUUGCUGGCAAAUGUCAUCUGAGCAGAGACCCAUUCCUUAUACUAUUGCAUAGCUAUGCAAUUAAAGGCUACCAGACUCACUCAAGUAUGCUAUCACUUAAAAGUCUAUAAAGAUAAAAUUAUCAAGCAAAUUGUUGUCUGAAAUAAAUGAAGAUAUUUUAAUUAGAAUAUAAAGAUAGAUAUUUAUCUUCCUUGUGGUUACUUAACAAAAUAAAAAAAAAAACCCAACCAGGGAAAAAAAUGUUUUUGGUCCAUCUAGCCAUAGCAAAUACUGCAGUCCCUCUAGCCAUAGCAAAUACUGCAGUCAGACCAUGAUAUUAGAGUUUCUUCAUGCCCCAGCUUGACUGUCUUAAUGCACUGAGACUUCUUAUACUUCUGCAUUUGUGUGGCUUGUACCAUGUCCCCUUGUACCCAUGGCUUGUACCAUGUACAUAUGACCCCUCUCUCCCUAAUCCCCAUAACCCCAAGUUCUAAACAAAUCCCUAUACACUUAGAUAUCCACCUCUACUUGCAAAAUGUGCAUUGGAAGAUGAUUUGUUAAGUUCUGUGCAUUGUACCCUUCACAUCUCUCAUCACUCAGCCGUGAUAUAAGUAGGUAUUCAGUCAACCGAAUGCCAGAAGGAAGGUGGUUGCAGAUAAAGGGCAGGCACAACCUCAGAAAGUUGUCAUUACAGAACGUAGCUGCAGGAAGGGGGUAUUUCCUCUGCUAUGUUCCAAGAUUAACACAUGUAGCAGUUGACCAAUGUGAACAGGCCAAGCAGAGGAUGUUUAAAGGAUCAAGUCAGUGUUUGUGUAAUACUUUGAAGACAAAGGUGAAGAUAAUGAGCAAAUUCUUAUUAUCACAAAUAAUCUAAUAAUUACUGUAAUAAUUAUCCUCAUUCAACCAGAGACCAGAAAUAGAGAUUUUCAAGUGUAUUGAGUUUCAUUAAGUAUUACACAUUCUACAGCUAUAGUAGCACUCACUGUGAGAGGUAAAGCAGAUUAAAUAACCAUGAACCACAAAGUCACUCUGCUCACUCCUCAGGUCUCAGAUUGAGUUACCUUUCUCACACCUUGCAACCAAAUUACACAGAGCAAAAAAUGCACUAGAGGUGGGCUGAAAGGAGGCCAGAGAAGGGAGAGGGCAGGCUAGCUCCCAGUUUUUCCAUCUCUGCAUUGUCAAAAGAUAAGUGAAUAUGUCUAAUGAACCAGCUAAUAUCUUCGUGUUAAACUGACAGGUUGUUUCGACAUCUUUAGACACAGCCAAACAAAGAAUGAAAACAAACUGGUAGCCAUGUUUGUAGUUCCUGAUUAUGGGCACAAAGCAACCAAACACACCUGCAAGAAGUGCUAAAAUGUAGGCUUUGAUGAUAGCUUUGUUCAAGAUCCUCAUCAACCUCCUCACCUUCCAUUAAAUUUGUUGUGAUAACGUAACUGUGGGGCAUGUGUUGGUCCUGUCCAGAUCAGAGUCAGACUCACAUUUUACUCUCAAAAACAGGUGCUCAGCUGUAGCUGAAGUGCUCCAUCACAGUCAGGUAGGUAUGAGAGAAUAACAGAUGGGUUCCUAGGCAUACACCAUGCCAGGAUUUAGAGACUAGGCCUGCAUGUGGGAAGAGGUGAUCAAAUAAUCAGGAGGCUUGAUAUUCUGCAUUUAACCUAGUUUCCAAAUCCCAGGGCUUGAAAACCUUGAAUUUUAAAGAUUAAGGGGAGUUUUGUGGCAGGCAGAGAUAUUCUACCUCAUGGACUAGGGAGUAACGUUUGAAAAUUUGAUGUUAUAGAGAUGGUCUAAAAGAAAUUUGAAUCAAUUAAGAGACAACAGUGCAUUAUAUGUUAGGAAGGAAACUGUUAUGGUCCGUUGUCUAGUCACAAUGCAGUUCUACUCCAAAGGACCUCUUGGAGUCCACCUGAGGAAAAAACCCAAGGCUGGAAGGUUGGUGGUCUUGGCAGGUGUCCCUUCUCUGAUGUGGCAAGAAAACCCGUGUUAGCAAGCAUUAGCGCUACCUAAGACACAAGAGCCUGCUUUCCUCUCCUCUCUGCUUUCAGCCUUUCUGGAUCAUUCUUCCUGGAACACAGUCUGGGACCUUGCUUCAGGAACCUUUCCAACUUCUCUAAGAUGGUCAUCAUCAAAUACUCAAACACAUGAGAUCAGUGAGCUCUCAAGACUAAGCGACUGAAAGGGUCAUAUGGUUAAGAGGAGUGGAGGAAAUAGCAACAGUUUUCCCAAAUCACUGGAAUUUUGGUCAAGAGACCUGGAAUAAAGUCUCAUCUGUGUCACCUAGAGCAAGUUAUAUG
RNAcentral lists this long non-coding RNA (15097 nucleotides) under Homo sapiens (human). Its description in RNAcentral is "non-protein coding LINC01376:7". The record is from RNAcentral. Lineage: Eukaryota; Metazoa; Chordata; Mammalia; Primates; Hominidae.